This 76-nucleotide transfer RNA is filed under the name Escherichia coli. Its description in RNAcentral is "tRNA-Thr". It matches the Rfam family "tRNA". Rfam says of the family: Transfer RNA (tRNA) molecules are approximately 80 nucleotides in length. Their secondary structure includes four short double-helical elements and three loops (D, anti-codon, and T loops). Further hydrogen bonds mediate the characteristic L-shaped molecular structure. tRNAs have two regions of fundamental functional importance: the anti-codon, which is responsible for specific mRNA codon recognition, and the 3' end, to which the tRNAs corresponding amino acid is attached (by aminoacyl-tRNA synthetases). tRNAs cope with the degeneracy of the genetic code in two manners: having more than one tRNA (with a specific anti-codon) for a particular amino acid; and 'wobble' base-pairing, i.e. permitting non-standard base-pairing at the 3rd anti-codon position. Lineage: Bacteria; Pseudomonadati; Pseudomonadota; Gammaproteobacteria; Enterobacterales; Enterobacteriaceae. The record is from RNAcentral.
GCCGACUUAGCUCAGUAGGUAGAGCAACUGACUUGUAAUCAGUAGGUCACCAGUUCAAUUACGGUAGUCGGCACCA